AAAUGAAGAAAUGCCGGACGGACAGAGGUCAUCACUGAUCAAAAGCGAUGACCUCUGUCCGUCCGGCGUUUCUUCAUUUUUGAACACAACAAUUUGGUGACUCCGUCGUGAUGGAGAUCAAUGGACGGACGGAGGAACAGCUGAUCUGAACAAAGCCCAGCGAUCGAUUUUCUUCACUCACACGGCGCCAUCGAAAAGGUGAGGACAGAGUCACGGACCAGCGCGCCAAGACCCUGAAGGCUGGAAGUUACAAUUUAAAUUUGAACAAGGUGAGAAAAAUAAUAAAUUACUGGAUACAUUUUUACAAUAAAUAUAGAUCAGUUGAAAACAUUGCAAAUUUGUAUAUAAUUGUAUAUUGUAUGGUUUUGUUUGGAAAAGACCACAACCGGUUAAGUUUUUGUUUUGUAGCCUAACAGGGCCCACAAGGCUUUGUUCUUUGAAACAAAGGGCUGUGAUCGGAACCACCAUUGGUUGCGGUUGGGGAACGUGGAGCACAUGUUUUUGGAACAUUACAAGAUGGCGGGCGGAGAUAAAUAGAGAAAACAGUUAAAAGAUGGCUGAGAAAGAAAUUCUCAGCACGGUCUAUAGAGGGGAUAACA
Molecule: non-coding RNA, 599 nt
Organism: Gasterosteus aculeatus aculeatus (three-spined stickleback)
Lineage: Eukaryota; Metazoa; Chordata; Actinopteri; Perciformes; Gasterosteidae
Source: RefSeq, a predicted model, not a curated record